CGCAUUUCUGAAUGCAGGUUUUACAUUUGACAGGCAUUUAUCGCAAAGUACGCAAGAAGGUCGGAGAUGCUUAUAAUAUUUCAGGCAACAAUCGAGGCGUGCCAGAUAACCUUAUUAGAGGAAACGGACGUCACAGUUUAUGGUUGAAUUCCCCUCAUAUUUGGGAAAGACUUCCACAUGACAAAGGGGAUAUUGAGUAACCACAGGGGGCCAACACAAGUGGCACACAGUAGCCUGAGAGUAACAGUCAACAGUCUCUCUUAUACAGUAGAGUAACAGUCAACGCAAAAUCUACCAAGUCGCUCAAAUUCGCCAUUUGGAACCACAGAAACAACAAUACACAGCAAGUGAGGUCGGACAGUUGGCAGCACAGUCGUUCAAAACUCCCUCGCAUCUUCUCUCACACAAUUCGGCGAUGUCCAUGUCACAGAAGAUCA
This is a long non-coding RNA of Stylophora pistillata, 437 nucleotides long. RefSeq lists it as uncharacterized. The record is from RefSeq and is a predicted model, not a curated record. Lineage: Eukaryota; Metazoa; Cnidaria; Anthozoa; Scleractinia; Pocilloporidae.